Molecule: long non-coding RNA, 401 nt
Organism: Malus domestica (apple)
Lineage: Eukaryota; Viridiplantae; Streptophyta; Magnoliopsida; Rosales; Rosaceae
Source: RefSeq, a predicted model, not a curated record
UGUUUACGUCACGCUCACGUGAUGGCCAACAGGCCUUGAUUCUAGAAUCGGGGUGUGUCAAUUUAACCCGGAAAGGUUGGAGGAGAGAAACUGUCACAGCCCGUCCCGAAAGUUCAGUUAUCUUGGAUGUGAUUUGACGGAAUUGCCCUUAAAGGUUACUAAGGGGAAGGACACACACACUCAAAACAAACCUCACACUCUCUCCCCCAUGCCCUCUCUCUCUUCCCUCUCAGUUUCUCUCUCUCUUCCUUCGACUGUACGGACACACCCACCCAUGAACAUCCAGGCACGGAUCAAAGGUUUCAAGGGCAUCAUUGUGUUCAUGAGGUACCUACGAACGCAUCCAUACCCAUUUCAGGGAAUUCUAAGCCUACAGGGAGUUUAGUGAGGUCCCAAGGAAG